GCUUAACACAUGCAAGUCGAGGGGAAACGACAUCGAAAGCUUGCUUUUGAUGGGCGUCGACCGGCGCACGGGUGAGUAACGCGUAUCCAACCUGCCCACCACUUGGGGAUAACCUUGCGAAAGUAAGACUAAUACCCAAUGACGUCUCUAGAAGACAUCUGAAAGAGAUUAAAGAUUUAUCGGUGAUGGAUGGGGAUGCGUCUGAUUAGCUUGUUGGCGGGGUAACGGCCCACCAAGGCAACGAUCAGUAGGGGUUCUGAGAGGAAGGUCCCCCACAUUGGAACUGAGACACGGUCCAAACUCCUACGGGAGGCAGCAGUGAGGAAUAUUGGUCAAUGGACGAGAGUCUGAACCAGCCAAGUAGCGUGCAGGAUGACGGCCCUAUGGGUUGUAAACUGCUUUUAUAAGGGAAUAAAGUGAGUCUCGUGAGACUUUUUGCAUGUACCUUAUGAAUAAGGACCGGCUAAUUCCGUGCCAGCAGCCGCGGUAAUACGGAAGGUCCGGGCGUUAUCCGGAUUUAUUGGGUUUAAAGGGAGCGUAGGCCGGAGAUUAAGUGUGUUGUGAAAUGUAGAUGCUCAACAUCUGAACUGCAGCGCGAACUGGUUUCCUUGAGUACGCACAAAGUGGGCGGAAUUCGUGGUGUAGCGGUGAAAUGCUUAGAUAUCACGAAGAACUCCGAUUGCGAAGGCAGCUCACUGGAGCGCAACUGACUCUGAAGCUCGAAAGUGCGGGUAUCGAACAGGAUUAGAUCCCCUGGUAGUCCGCCCGGUAAACAAUGGAUGCCCGCUGUUGGUUUGAAUAGGUCAGCGGCCAAGCGAAAG
Molecule: ribosomal RNA, 821 nt
Filed under: uncultured bacterium
Lineage: Bacteria
Description: bacterial SSU rRNA
Rfam family: Bacterial small subunit ribosomal RNA
Source: RNAcentral